This 250-nucleotide ribosomal RNA is filed under the name uncultured bacterium. Its description in RNAcentral is "partial 16S ribosomal RNA". It matches the Rfam family "Bacterial small subunit ribosomal RNA", at positions 524 to 776 of the family's 1533-position model. The record is from RNAcentral.
UACGGGGGGAGCAAGCGUUGUUCGGAUUUACUGGGCGUAAAGGGCGCGUAGGCGGCGCAACAAGUCACUUGUGAAAUCUCCGGGCUUAACCCGGAGCGGCCAAGUGAUACUGUCGUGCUAGAGUGCGGAAGGGGCUACUGGAAUUCUCGGUGUAGCGGUGAAAUGCGCAGAUAUCAGGAGGAACACCUAUUGCGAAGGCAGCUCGCUGGGACGUAACUGACGCUGAGACGCGAAGCGUGGGAGCAACAGG